UCCCAUAUGGUCUAGCGGUUAGGAUUCCUGGUUUCCUGGUUUCCCUGGUUCGACUCCCGGUAUGGGAA
Molecule: transfer RNA, 68 nt
Filed under: Danionella cerebrum
Lineage: Eukaryota; Metazoa; Chordata; Actinopteri; Cypriniformes; Danionidae
Description: tRNA-OTHER
Rfam family: tRNA
About the family: Transfer RNA (tRNA) molecules are approximately 80 nucleotides in length. Their secondary structure includes four short double-helical elements and three loops (D, anti-codon, and T loops).
Source: RNAcentral